Molecule: long non-coding RNA, 794 nt
Organism: Quercus lobata
Lineage: Eukaryota; Viridiplantae; Streptophyta; Magnoliopsida; Fagales; Fagaceae
Exons: 3
Source: RefSeq, a predicted model, not a curated record
UUGAGAUUCUAGCUCUCUCCGGAUUGAAUAGUUCAAAGGGACUGUUUAGAGAAGAGAAAGUCGCACCAGCACCGGUCGUCCCCCUCGGCACCUUUUCCCGCCUCAAACAAUUUUCAAUAGGUUAUUGUCGGAAUAUAAAGAAGCUCUUCCCGCCUGGGUUGCUGCUGGACAACCUGGAACAGAUUAAUAUCUGUGAAUGUAAGCAAUUAGAGGAAAUAAUAGGUGGGGCUGAAGCAUCUGAUGAUGAAGUUGAAGAGGAAGCAAAAGAAAUUGUGGAAAUAUUCCCCCAAUUGAGGAAAUUGACAUUACAGUAUUUACCGAAGCUGAAGACCAUAUGCAGUAGCAGUAAUGUAAUACUUUGUGAUUCUCUCAAUUUUAUUAAGAUCUUCAAAUGUCCGAAGCUUAAGAGAUUACCUCUUUCUCGGCACCUUAUUGAUGGAGAACUAUCUUCUCCGCCUUCUUCAUUACAAAUUUAUAUAGAGAAAGAAAGGUGGGAAUCGCUGGAAUGGGACAAUCAUGAUAUGAAGAUGGUCCUUCAACCUCUCUGUCAGUUCGUUAAAUGGUGAAAUCUCAAGGUGGGGGGAGCAGAUUCACAUGACUCUUCCUCUGACACUUCAUCAAGCCAAAGCCGACUCAAGAAAUAAUGGUGUGGCGUGGUCCGCGUGGACCCGCAACUAGAACUUGGCUCUCAAAUGUGUUUCCGUGUAAUUCUUAACUCUUUUGGUUCUGAUUUGCUUUUUAUUUGAACUUUGUUGUGUUAUGAUUUAUGAACAUGUGCUCUUCUCUUUGGCUGA